UACAGCCAAGACUGUAUUAUCUAUCUACAAGAUAGAUAUUUCUGAUAGAUAUUUCUGAUAGAUAUUUCUGCAUGAGGUCAGCUGAGCCAAAGAAGUUUCUGAGCAAUGUGACAUGAACAUUUCCAGGCAUAUGAAGAACCAGAGAGCUGGACAUAGCUGUAUGGUCUUGUGAUUCAGCUCACAAAGCUACUUAGAUGAAUGGUCUGUAAUGUAAACCAAAAAUUAGCACUUGUGAGAACAGCACCUUAUCCUUCUGCAGUUCUUUCCAGGUAGAAUACUUGCCCAGACUCAGAAGUAUUAAAAAAUAUACAUGAAAAAGAAUGUCUGCGUCAGGUAGCCAUAGUAACCAACGUCUAGAAGUGGACAACAAAGAGCAUUGAAAUGCUGGUUUGUGCAUUUACUUUUUAAAGGAUGGCUCAUUUUCUCAUUGCCCACGACUUCAUCUAUCCAAAGCUGUCUAAACAAUGCAAGUAACUUGGCUUUUUCCCACAUUAUGUAACUUACUUUGCUUCCAGCUUCCAUGGAGCCUUUGCUUUUGGACUGAAGAUUUCCAGGUUCAGCCUCAGUAAGGUGACCUUUAAACUGAGUAGAGACUCUCCAGCACAGACCCAUGGAGGAGGAGCUACUGUGAACUUAAAUACAGACUCAGGUCUGGUUUGUAAAUGUCAGUGAUCUUUGUCAGAAAGCAAGGUUAGUAAAACCACAUCUUCAGAAAGCAUUCUCUGAAAAGGGCUUAGAAAUAACUGUAAAUAAAUAAGGGAAGAAAAAGACCUGAACAUAUAGUGGCUGCAAAGACAUUUGUAUAAAAACCAUUUAUAUUAUUUCUGUGAAUCCAAAUGAAAAGAUUACUUCUAAAUUGUACCCAAAUCUCACAUCCAGCAUUUUUACACUGUUAAAAAUUUGGAGAGAGUUCAAAGUGGUAACAAAGUAUCUAAAUUGGCAAUCCCCACCACAGGAUGCAGAGGGAGUAACACACUGGGAGAACAUCUGCUAUCCCAACUGUGACCUGGAAGGGAAUGUGAGUGAGAUACUUGGGUUAAAUAUAAGAAAAAUGCCAAAUAUCUGCUGCAUACUUCAAGGGACUAACAAAGUCAUGUGCCAUCCCUUUGUGCUGUGUUGUUCAUUUUGUUUUCUCUGGAAAGCCAGAUGUUGGUAAAUUGGGACCUGGCCAGAUGGCUUCCAGUUAGGGAAUGGUUGUUGUUGCCUCUUGUCCUGAGAAACUGAAUUUCUUAAAACUGGAGGUGACUGUACUUGUCCACAGGUGAGCUGGAGAUGGGGUGAAAAUGAGCAAAAGCUUUCCAGCCUGAGUUUUACAGGUUAACAAACCAGCAAAGUCUCCUGCUGCUUAGCUCCCUUGGGGCUUGUGGUCUCAUAUUGAGGAACAGCAAAGAAUGACUGGGAGACAUAAACACGAGGUGGGGCAAAAACAAAAUAAAGAAAACUUUAAAUAUUGUAAUACAAUCAUAUAAUCCUUGAAUGGUUUGGGGUGGAAAGGCCCUUAAAGCUCAUCUUGUUCCACCCCCUGCCAUGGACAGGGACACCUUCUAGUAGACCAGGUUGCUCCCAGCCCAUCCAGCCUGGCCUUGGACACUUCCUAAAUUUAGGUGAGCUGAAAAGAACUCUUGGCGAUUGCCUGGAAGCUUAUGAUGCCUUCAAGUACUGUGUGGGGAACUACAUUUUUAUUUGUGUAAAUUAAUUGGAAGGGAGCCACCCUGAGAGUUUUUCUGGAAAAACUCAUUAAAUCAAAUUUAUCUGUUAUGUGAUCAACUUCAUUGUGAGAAUAAAUACGGGUAGUUCAGCAAAAUAGGAAGAAGAUGAAUAUUUCUGUGGAUUUAUAAAGCCAUCAAGCAAGGGUAUAAAAUGAAUACAGUUGUUAUCUGGUGGUGUCAGCUAAAUCAAUAACAUUCAAUAUGGCAGCCUUCCCUGCUCAUGGGCACACCUGGGGAAAUUUCUUAAUUUUAACUAUAGGAAAAUGCAGGACAAACACAUAUAAAAUCCCAAUAUGAUUUUGGAGCUCUGGGAGUUGCACUGAAACAUUGGUAGCAAUGGUAUGGUAUCUAUUAUUGCAUAAAGAUGUUCAUGUUCUGGAGCCUUUUUGUUUUCUUAACCUUUGAAGUCAAACAGUUCAGGUGGCAAAAAUUUGGUUGUCACAAACCACUGGCUGAUGGGGAGGUGUGAAAUGUGUUUUGAGAAUGACUCAAGUCAAAAGUAGUCCAACAAAAACUACAUUCUAGGUUAAAAAAACACUGGGCAGUCACAGUGAGAUGCUAUUUUAAAGAGCAUUCUGGGAUUUAAAAUAGUAUCUAAAUCUCCAAUGUUGAUUCAAUGCUACUUAAAAUACCUUUCACUGACAGGAAUCUGAAUCUUUGUGAGAAAACAGGAGCAGAAGAGAUUGACAGUGCCAUUCUAGAAAGAGGGUUUGCAGAAACUUGUCAAGAAGGAGCUUACCUCACGUGAACAGAUUCAGAGAUAUAUUUUUAUUCACCUUUACAGCAACUACCCACAGUUGCUGUACAAGAUUAUUUAGGACAUUCUGCAAAAGAGUGAUGAAGAAAGUCAAUCCUAAAUAAACAAAUCAUUUUAUGAAACA
Long non-coding RNA from Passer montanus (Eurasian tree sparrow), 2590 nucleotides. RefSeq lists it as uncharacterized. The transcript has 2 exons. The record is from RefSeq and is a predicted model, not a curated record. Lineage: Eukaryota; Metazoa; Chordata; Aves; Passeriformes; Passeridae.